UACGAAGGGGGCGAGCGUUGUUCGGAUUUAUUGGGCGUAAAGGGCGUGUAGGCGGGUUCUUAAGUCAGGAGUGAAAUCCCUCGGCUCAACCGAGGAAUUGCUUUUGAAACUGGGGACCUUGAGUGCGGGAGAGGGAAGUGGAAUUCCCAGUGUAGCGGUGAAAUGCGUAGAUAUUGGGAAGAACACCGGUGGCGAAGGCGGCUUCCUGGACCGUAACUGACGCUAAAGCGCGAAAGCGUGGGGAG
This 245-nucleotide ribosomal RNA is filed under the name uncultured bacterium. RNAcentral's name for it is "partial 16S ribosomal RNA". It matches the Rfam family "Bacterial small subunit ribosomal RNA", at positions 524 to 768 of the family's 1533-position model. The record is from RNAcentral.